GAGUUUGAUCCUGGCUCAGGACGAACGCUGGCGGCGCGCCUAACACAUGCAAGUCGAACGGAGUCAAGAGGAGCUUGCUUUUCUUGACUUAGUGGCGAACGGGUGAGUAACGCGUGAGUAACCUGCCCUGGAGUGGGGGACAACAGUUGGAAACGACUGCUAAUACCGCAUAAGCCCACGAUCCGGCAUCGGAUUGAGGGAAAAGGAUUUAUUCGCUUCAGGAUGGACUCGCGUCCAAUUAGCUAGUUGGUGAGGUAACGGCCCACCAAGGCGACGAUUGGUAGCCGGACUGAGAGGUUGAACGGCCACAUUGGGACUGAGACACGGCCCAGACUCCUACGGGAGGCAGCAGUGGGGAAUAUUGCACAAUGGGGGAAACCCUGAUGCAGCGACGCCGCGUGGAGGAAGAAGGUCUUCGGAUUGUAAACUCCUGUUGUUGGGGAAGAUAAUGACGGUACCCAACAAGGAAGUGACGGCUAACUACGUGCCAGCCGCCGCGGUAAUUC
RNAcentral lists this ribosomal RNA (506 nucleotides) under uncultured bacterium. Its description in RNAcentral is "bacterial SSU rRNA". It matches the Rfam family "Bacterial small subunit ribosomal RNA", at positions 9 to 526 of the family's 1533-position model. The record is from RNAcentral.